CCCACUGCCGCCUCCGCACCGCGGCCCCGGAGGGUGCGGCACUGCCCCAUAGCGACCGCACUGCCCCAUAGAGACGGCACGGCCCCAUAGCGCACGGCACGGCCCCAUAGCGUACGGCAGUGCCCCAUAGCGCACUGCCCCAUAGCGACCGCACGGCCCCAUAAAGGCGGCACUGCCCCAUAGCGACCGCACUGCCCCAUAGAGACGGCACGGCCCCAUAAAGGCGGCACUGCCCCAUAGCGACCGCACGGCCCCAUAGAGACGGCACAGCCCCAUAAAGGCGGCACUGCCCCAUAGCGACCGCACGGCCCCAUAGAGACGGCACGGCCCCAUAAAGGCGGCACUGCCCCAUACCGACCGCACGGCCCCAUAGCGACCGCACGGCCCCAUAGCGUACAGCAGUGCCCCACAGCGCACUGCCCCAUAGCGCACGGCACUGCCCCAUAGCGUAUGGCAGUGUCCCACAGCGCACGGCCCCAUAGAGACGGCUCUGCCCCAUAGAAACGGCAGUGCCCCAUAGCACACAGCACCGCCCCAUAGAGACGGCACUGCCCCAUAGCGACCGCACGGCCCCAUAGCGUACGGCAGUGCCCCACAGCGCACUGCCCCAUAGCGCACAGCACUGCCCCAUAGCGACCGCACGGCCCCCAUAGCGUACGGCAGUGCCCCACAGCGCACUGCCCCAUAGCGCACAGCACUGCCCCAUAGCGACCGCACGGCCCCAUAGAAACGGCACUGCCCCAUAGCGACCGCACGGCCCCAUAGCGUAUGGCAGUGCCCCACAGCGCACUGCCCCAUAGAGACGGCUCUGCCCCAUAGAAACGGCAGUGCCCCAUAGCACACAGCACCGCCCCAUAGAGACGGCACUGCCCCAUAGCACACAGCACGGCCCCAUAGCGACCGCACGGCCCCAUAGAGACGGAACGGCCCCAUAGCGACCGCACGGCCCCAUAGCGACCGCACGGCCCCAUAGCGUACAGCAGUGCCCCACAGCGCACUGCCCCAUAGCGCACGGCACUGCCCCAUAGCGUAUGGCAGUGUCCCACAGCGCACGGCCCCAUAGAGACGGCUCUGCCCCAUAGAAACGGCAGUGCCCCAUAGCACACAGCACCGCCCCAUAGAGACGGCACUGCCCCCAUAGCGACCGCACGGCCCCAUAGCGUACGGCAGUGCCCCACAGCGCACUGCCCCAUAGCGCACAGCACUGCCCCAUAGCGACCGCACGGCCCCAUAGCGUACGGCAGUGCCCCACAGCGCACUGCCCCAUAGCGCACAGCACUGCCCCAUAGCGACCGCACGGCCCCAUAGAAACGGCACUGCCCCAUAGCGACCGCACGGCCCCAUAGCGUAUGGCAGUGCCCCACAGCGCACUGCCCCAUAGAGACGGCUCUGCCCCAUAGAAACGGCAGUGCCCCAUAGCACACAGCACCGCCCCAUAGAGACGGCACUGCCCCAUAGCACACAGCACGGCCCCAUAGCGACCGCACGGCCCCAUAGAGACGGAACGGCCCCAUAGCGACCGCACGGCCCCAUAGCGUACGGCAGUGCCCCACAGUGCACUGCCCCAUAGCGCACGGCACUGCCCCAUAGCGACCGCACGGCCCCAUAGCGUACAGCAGUGCCCCACAGCGCACUGCCCCAUAGAGACGGCACUGCCCCAUAGAAACGGCAGUGCCCCAUAGCGCACAGCACGGCCCCAUAGCGACCACACUGCCCCAUAGCGCAGAGCACAACCCCAUGGAGAUGGCACUGCCCCAUAGCGUACGGCAGUGCCCCAUCGCGCACGGCACUGCCCCAUAUAGAAGGCAUUGUGCCAUAGCACACGGCACUGCCCCAUAGCGCACUGCCCCAUAGAGACGGCACUGCCCCAUAGCACACAGCACGGCCCCAUAGCGACCGCACGGCCCCAUAGCGUACGGCAGUGCCCCACAGCGCACUGCCCCAUAGAGACGGCACUGCCCCAUAGCAUAUGGCACUGCCCCAUAGCACACAGCACGACCCCAUAGAGACGGCACUGCCCCAUAGCGCACGGCACUGCCCCAUAGCGCACGGCACGGCCCCAUAAAGGCGGCACUGCCCCAUAGCGACCGCACGGCCCCAUAGAGACGGCACUGCCCCAUAGCGACCUCACGGCCCCAUAGCGUACGGCAGUGCCCCACAGCGCACUGCCCCAUAGCGCACAG
Molecule: long non-coding RNA, 2183 nt
Filed under: Gallus gallus (chicken)
Lineage: Eukaryota; Metazoa; Chordata; Aves; Galliformes; Phasianidae
Description: lncRNA (ENSGALG00010009802.1)
Source: RNAcentral